AUUGAACGCUGGCGGCAUGCUUUACACAUGCAAGUCGAACGGUAACAGGCCUUCGGGUGCUGACGAGUGGCGAACGGGUGAGUAAUGCAUCGGAACGUACCCAGAGGUGGGGGAUAACGCAGCGAAAGCUGUGCUAAUACCGCAUGUGAUCUGAGGAUGAAAGCGGGGGACCGAGCAGCAAUGUUUGGCCUCGCGCCUUUGGAGCGGCCGAUGUCGGAUUAGCUAGUUGGUGGGGUAAAGGCCUACCAAGGCGACGAUCCGUAGCUGGUCUGAGGGGACGACCAGCCACACUGGGACUGAGACACGGCCCAGACUCCUACGGGAGGCAGCAGUGGGGAAUUUUGGACAUUGGGCGCAAGCCUGAUCCAGCAAUGCCGCGUGCGGGAAGAAGGCCUUCGGGUUGUAAACCGCUUUUGGCAGGAACGAAACGGUGUCCGCUAAUACCGGGCGCUAAUGACGGUACCUGCAGAAUAAGCACCGGCUAACUACGUG
RNAcentral lists this ribosomal RNA (492 nucleotides) under uncultured bacterium. RNAcentral describes it as "partial 16S ribosomal RNA". It matches the Rfam family "Bacterial small subunit ribosomal RNA", at positions 29 to 507 of the family's 1533-position model. The record is from RNAcentral.